AGUGGGGAAUAUUGGACAAUGGGCGCAAGCCUGAUCCAGCAAUGCCGCGUGAGUGAAGAAGGCCUUAGGGUUGUAAAGCUCUUUCGGCGGGGACGAUGAUGACGGUACCCGCAGAAGAAGCCCCGGCUAACUCCGUGCCAGCAGCCGCGGUAAUACGGAGGGGGCUAGCGUUGUUCGGAGUUACUGGGCGUAAAGGGCGCGUAGGCGGCUGUGCAAGUCAGGUGUGAAAGGCCCGGGCUCAACCCGGGGACGGCGCUUGAGACUGCACGGCUUGGAGUCCGGGAGAGGAUGGUGGAAUUCCCAGUGUAGAGGUGAAAUUCGUAGAUAUUGGGAAGAACACCGGUGGCGAAGGCGGCCAUCUGGACCGGUACUGACGCUGAGGCGCGAAAGCGUGGGGAGCAAA
Molecule: ribosomal RNA, 403 nt
Filed under: uncultured bacterium
Lineage: Bacteria
Description: bacterial SSU rRNA
Rfam family: Bacterial small subunit ribosomal RNA
Source: RNAcentral